CCCGCUGAACUUAAGCAUAUCAGUAAGCGGAGGAAAAGAAACUAACGAGGAUUUCCUUAGUAACGGCGAGUGAACGGGAAACGGCCCAGCGCUAAAUCUUGUAGCCCUAACGGGUUGCGAGAAGUGUAGCGUACAGUAGGCCACAACUCUUUGAUGGCUGUCGACUUAAGUUCUCCUUGACUGGGGCUCCAGAGAAGGUGAAAGGCCUGUUCAGUCGAUGGCCGUCUUGGAGUCGGUUCUACUUGGAGUCGGGUUGUUUGGGAACGCAGCCCAAAUAUGAUGGUAAACUUCACCUAAGGCUAAAUACGGCCACGAAACCGAUAGUAAACAAGUACCGUGAGGGAAAGUUGAAAAGUACUUUGAAGAGAGAGUUCAAGAGGACGUGAAACCGGUAGGAUGGAAACGGAUAGAGCCGACGAGCAAGCCCGUAUUCAGCUAGUCGGCUGCGCGCAACAUGUCUGUGUCCCUCGGUCAGAGGGCAUAGACGUGUGCCUAGCGUGCGGUUCGGCUAGUGCAUUUGCGGGUGAUGUGCACUGAGGCGUGUGGUGAAGUCCUGGAAACCGUUAUGGGGAGGACAUACCCAACUUCGGGUAUGAAACCCACAUGUCGGCUAGUAGGGUUUUUGCUGCACGUAGCAAGUACGGCUAGGUGAUCUUUGCGCGCUGUCUGUGCUACCGGGCUAGCUACUUGGUCGAUCGCAUGCCGAUCGGAUCUCGUCGGUUGGUCUCCCGGUGGUGCGCCAGUGCCCUAGCUGGGCCUCGGUGUAAAAGUUGGUCAUCUCUCCGACCCGUCUUGAAACACGG
Molecule: ribosomal RNA, 803 nt
Filed under: uncultured fungus
Lineage: Eukaryota; Fungi
Description: eukaryotic LSU rRNA
Rfam family: Eukaryotic large subunit ribosomal RNA
Source: RNAcentral